UUAUUCACAGGCAAAUUGUUAUAUGCUAUGGAGGUACAUUUGUGUAUUUUUGUCUAAAUCAAAAAGAAUUGUUCUGACAGCUAUUUUUUCCUCGACAGAAAAGGAAGUCAAAGCGGACACCUACGAAGAUGGCAUCUCAGAGAGCAAGCUGUCCAAGGGGGUCGAAAAUGUAGAUAUUGCCAGAUGUUCACUGUGAGGAUCAGGCCGUGGAAGAUGUAUUGCUGGCAAAAAGUGUCCCUAACCAGAGGUUAUGUCAGCUGUUUUGUUGAACCUCUCCUGCAUCUGAACUGGCUGACAGAGGGCACAGCCUGAUCAUAGGUAUGUUUUGAUGUGAGAGGAAUCCAGUCCCGACAGCGCAAUUGUGAUGAACUGAGAGAAUAUUAGGGUAGCACUGUCAUUCAUGAAUCAUGUGCUAUCUGCCGCUGUUCUUACCUCUCGCCCCACUUCGUCUUCUAAUGCACACCAUAUGUGCAUUGAAGUACAGAUUUGCCUACCUUUAAAUAAUGUUUUUAACUAGGCAAGUCAGAUAAGAAUGACGGCCUAGGAACUGCCUUGUUCAGGGGCAGAAGGACAUAUUUUUACCUUGUCGGCUCGGGGACUCGAUCUUGCAACCUUCCGGUUACUAGUCCACCUGCCCGCCCAAGAUUGAACUUGUAUUUAUAAUAUUACAAUUAAAAUGCACUUCUUUCAAUAAAGCGUUUCACAUUCUCCACUGGUUGAAAUACUA
Molecule: long non-coding RNA, 727 nt
Organism: Salvelinus fontinalis (brook trout)
Lineage: Eukaryota; Metazoa; Chordata; Actinopteri; Salmoniformes; Salmonidae
Exons: 4
Source: RefSeq, a predicted model, not a curated record